RNAcentral lists this ribosomal RNA (221 nucleotides) under Haloarcula sp. Atlit-120R. RNAcentral describes it as "partial 23S ribosomal RNA". It matches the Rfam family "Archaeal large subunit ribosomal RNA", at positions 2669 to 2888 of the family's 2987-position model. Lineage: Archaea; Methanobacteriati; Methanobacteriota; Halobacteria; Halobacteriales; Haloarculaceae. The record is from RNAcentral.
GUGAGCUGGGUUUAGACCGUCGUGAGACAGGUCGGCUGCUAUCUACUGGGUGUGUUAUGGUGUCUGACAAGAACGACCGUAUAGUACGAGAGGAACUACGGUUGGUGGCCACUGGUGUACCGGUUGUCUGAGAAGGCACGUGCCGGGUAGCCACGCCACACGGGGUAAGAGCUGAACGCAUCUAAGCUCGAAACCCACUUGGAAAAGAGACACCGCCGAGG